RNAcentral lists this ribosomal RNA (836 nucleotides) under Haptophyta environmental samples. Its description in RNAcentral is "bacterial SSU rRNA". It matches the Rfam family "Bacterial small subunit ribosomal RNA", at positions 481 to 1325 of the family's 1533-position model. Lineage: Eukaryota; Haptophyta. The record is from RNAcentral.
GAGGAAUAAKCAUCGGCUAACUCCGUGCCAGCAGCCGCGGUAAUACGGGGGAUGCAAGCGUUAUCCGGAAUCAUUGGGCGUAAAGCGCCUGUAGGUUGUUUAAUAAGUCUGUUGUUAAAGACUAGGGCUUAACCCUAGAAAAGCAAUGGAAACUACUAGACUAGAGUAUGGCAGGGGUAGAGGGAAUUUCUAGUGUAGCGGUGAAAUGCGUAGAUAUUAGAAAGAACACCGGUGGCGAAAGCGCUCUACUGGACCAUUACUGACACUCAGAGGCGAAAGCUAGGGUAGCAAAAGGGAUUAGAUACCCCUGUAGUCCUAGCCGUAAACGAUGGAUACUAGAUGUUGUGCAUAAAGUACAGUAUCGUAGCUAACGCGUUAAGUAUCCCGCCUGGGGAGUACGCUCGCAAGGGUGAAACUCAAAGGAAUUGACGGGGGCCCGCACAAGCGGUGGAGCAUGUGGUUUAAUUCGAUGCAACGCGAAGAACCUUACCAGGGCUUGACAUACUACAGAUCUUUUUGAGAAAAAAGAGUGCCUUCGGGAAUGUAGAUACAGGUGGUGCAUGGCUGUCGUCAGCUCGUGUCGUGAGAUGUUGGGUUAAGUCCCGCAACGAGCGCAACCCUUAUUUUUAGUUACUAAUUCGUUAGGUUCUCUAGAAAGACUGCCGGUGACAAACCGGAGGAAGGUGAGGAUGACGUCAAGUCAGCAUGCCCCUUAUGUCCUGGGCUACACACGUGCUACAAUGGGUAAGACAAAGAGUUGCGAGCUCGCGAGAGUCAGCUAAUCUCAUAAACUUCCCCUAAGUUCAGAUUGUAGGCUGCAACUCGCCUACAUGAAG